This 74-nucleotide transfer RNA is filed under the name Clostridia bacterium. RNAcentral's name for it is "tRNA-Lys". It matches the Rfam family "tRNA". Rfam says of the family: Transfer RNA (tRNA) molecules are approximately 80 nucleotides in length. Their secondary structure includes four short double-helical elements and three loops (D, anti-codon, and T loops). Further hydrogen bonds mediate the characteristic L-shaped molecular structure. tRNAs have two regions of fundamental functional importance: the anti-codon, which is responsible for specific mRNA codon recognition, and the 3' end, to which the tRNAs corresponding amino acid is attached (by aminoacyl-tRNA synthetases). tRNAs cope with the degeneracy of the genetic code in two manners: having more than one tRNA (with a specific anti-codon) for a particular amino acid; and 'wobble' base-pairing, i.e. permitting non-standard base-pairing at the 3rd anti-codon position. The record is from RNAcentral. Lineage: Bacteria; Bacillati; Bacillota; Clostridia.
GUUCCCAUAGCUCAGUUGGUUAGAGCACCAAACUUUUAAUUUGGGGGUCGAGGAUUCGAGUUCCUCUGGGAACA